RNAcentral lists this ribosomal RNA (448 nucleotides) under uncultured bacterium. RNAcentral's name for it is "partial 16S ribosomal RNA". It matches the Rfam family "Bacterial small subunit ribosomal RNA", at positions 331 to 794 of the family's 1533-position model. The record is from RNAcentral.
CCAGACUCCUACGGGAGGCAGCAGUGGGGAAUAUUGCACAAUGGGGGGAACCCCGAUGCGGCGACGCCGCGUGGGCGAGGAAGUAUUUCGGUAUGUAAAGCCCUAUCGGCAGGGAAGAAGAAAUGACGGUACCUGAAUAAGAAGCACCGGCUAAAUACGUGCCAGCAGCCGCGGUAAUACGUAUGGUGCAAGCGUUAUCCGGAUUUACUGGGUGUAAAGGGGGCGCAGACGGCAGCGCAAGCCAGGAGUGAAAGCCCGGGGCCCAACCCCGGGACUGCUCUUGGAACUGCGCGGCUGGAGUGCAGGAGGGGCAGGCGGAAUUCCUGGUGUAGCGGUGAAAUGCGUAGAUAUCAGGAGGAACACCGGUGGCGAAGGCGGCCUGCUGGACUGCGACUGACGUUGAGGCCCGAAAGCGUGGGGAGCAAACAGGAUUAGAUACCCGCGUAAA